This 125-nucleotide small RNA is filed under the name Marmota monax (woodchuck). Lineage: Eukaryota; Metazoa; Chordata; Mammalia; Rodentia; Sciuridae. The record is from RNAcentral.
GCUGGGUGUUGUGGUGCACACCUGUAAUUCCAGCAGCUUGGGAGGCUGAGGCAGGAGGAUCACAACUUCAAAGCCAGCCUCAGCAAUGGCGAGGCCCUAAGCAAUUCAGUGAGACCCUGUCUAUA